CCUCUAUUUCACUUAGGGCUCCUUUGGCAGCCCGGGAUACCACCGGGAUCCCGGCCCAUUCCCUGGGAGAAAGGCCCGCGGGGGAAAUUGCCACGGGUAUUAUUUCUGGUCCAUUUGGAAGCCCACGAGGCAGGGAUUUCCCAGCCCAAUCCGCGGGGAAACCCCAGGGAAAGGAACCCGACCUCUCGAGGUCAGGAAAUUUUCCUCUCCCGAUCCGCCGCUCUCUCUCUCGCGCAAAAGCGGCGACCAAGAGCGGGCGCCGCCGUGCCUCCUCCUCCGGCGAGACGCGCCACCACCGGACUCUUCCUCCGGCGAGAAGGGCACAGAAGCGCGGCGGUGACGCGGCGGCGCGCCGGUAGCACGGGCUCACAGCACCGGCGGAGGACAGGGGGGAGAUCCAAGGCGACGCCACGCACCGGCGGAGGAGGCAUUGAGGCGCAGAUCCAAGGCAGCAAAGAAUUUGGUUUGUUUCUUGAUUUGUGGAGGGAUGGGUACACGCAGGUGCUAGGGUUCAAUGGAGUUUCUGCUAGCAUUUUCAAAGGAAUGGAGCGUGGAAUUCCCCUCGUGGGAGUCUUCCAAAUGAACGUAGGGGAUUUUUCCCUCACGGGAGCAACUUCCCUAGGAAAUGAAGGGAGUUCAUAUGUCACAGGGAAGAUCCCCUUGGGGGAUUAUUUCCCAGGGGUUUUCUCCCCGUGCAUCCAAAGGAGCCCUUAG
This 714-nucleotide long non-coding RNA is filed under the name Oryza sativa aus subgroup. RNAcentral's name for it is "lncRNA OsNaBo_07g0017980". Lineage: Eukaryota; Viridiplantae; Streptophyta; Magnoliopsida; Poales; Poaceae. The record is from RNAcentral.